Molecule: ribosomal RNA, 253 nt
Filed under: uncultured bacterium
Lineage: Bacteria
Description: partial 16S ribosomal RNA
Rfam family: Bacterial small subunit ribosomal RNA
Source: RNAcentral
UACAUAGGGCUCAAGCGUUGUUCGGAUUCAUUGGGCGUAAAGGGUGCGUAGGCGGCUGGGUAAGUCAGGUGUGAAAUCUCGAGGCUCAACCUCGAAACUGCACUUGAUACUGCCUUGCUUGAGUACUGGAGAGGAGAUUGGAAUUUACGGUGUAGCAGUGAAAUGCGUAGAUAUCGUAAGGAAGACCAGUGGCGAAGGCGGAUCUCUGGACAGUUACUGACACUGAGGAACGAAGGCCAGGGGAGCAAACGGG